GGUGAAUAUCGCAUCAUAAGUAGCAUAGAAUCAAAAGUAUGGACCAAAACAGAACGAUUUCAAUGAUUAUCUUCUAAAACUAGUGGGGUCCAAUGGAUGCCUGUGGCAACCAGUUUGAAGGUCGUCUAUAGAGUGUUUCAUACUGUGAACCUUUCCAGAAUUCCUUCUCCACAAAAACAUUGACCUGACCUGUCUGCUAUAUGAGUAGGACCCUGCUCUCAGACUCAUAUAGCUGUAGCUGACCUUAGAAAUGGAGACCACCAACUGCUCUAUGCUACAAUGUUUUUGGGAGCUGCUAGAUUAGAGCUGCCCCUCCUAGGUCACAUGUAUGAUUUUAUAUUGGUCCUUCCGGAGACCCUAAACUUGUCUAAAUAAAGAGAAGAAAGAAACUAA
This is a non-coding RNA of Microcebus murinus (gray mouse lemur), 393 nucleotides long. The record is from RefSeq and is a predicted model, not a curated record. Lineage: Eukaryota; Metazoa; Chordata; Mammalia; Primates; Cheirogaleidae.